CCAUGGGAUGCAGCACUUCCAGCAGGGCAAUUGUUGAGGAGCCAUCAUCCAAGGGUCCACAUCACAGCACAGAAGCCAACAAGCAGGCGAAAAAAGAAGCAUCUCUUGGAACACGUGGCGUUAUUUCUGAACGUGGGUCAGGAAUUGAAGAUGAUGCCCAUGAAGGAAGAUUGCCAGAAGACUGUACAGAACAGUUACCAUCUGCUAAAGAAGAAAAUAAUGAACAAAAUAUAGACGUCAGAGCUGGACUUCCCAUGAAACCAGUAAGCUUAACAGAAAGCGAAAGACAGACAUCAUCUGACAUUUUGGAGGAGCUUCGGAUGCAAGGAAUAAUCAAGACCCCUGGUGCAACUUCUAAAAAUAGAAUAGCAGAUGACACCAUGUUGGUACAUUUAGGAGGGCCACUACAGAAACCACCAGCCAAACUGGAAAAGCUUGAAAACAAAAAGAAGAAAGAACAUAAUUUAACAAUAGAGAGCACUGAAAACAAGACCACUUUUCUUGAAAAUAGAAGAAAGCCACUAAUCUGACCCACUUUCCUAUAGUGUCUAAAUACUUAAUAAUCAAAAAUGUAUGUAUUAU
Long non-coding RNA from Elgaria multicarinata webbii, 582 nucleotides. RefSeq lists it as uncharacterized. Lineage: Eukaryota; Metazoa; Chordata; Lepidosauria; Squamata; Anguidae. The record is from RefSeq and is a predicted model, not a curated record. The transcript has 4 exons.